GCCCCCGUAGCCUAGUGGAUAGGCACCGGACUUCUAAUCCGUUUAACGUAGGUUCGAAUCCUGCCGGGGGUA
Molecule: transfer RNA, 72 nt
Filed under: Candidatus Poribacteria bacterium
Lineage: Bacteria; Candidatus Poribacteria
Description: tRNA-Arg
Rfam family: tRNA
About the family: Transfer RNA (tRNA) molecules are approximately 80 nucleotides in length. Their secondary structure includes four short double-helical elements and three loops (D, anti-codon, and T loops).
Source: RNAcentral